UAAUAUUUUUUAAUGUUUAGAUAGAGCCUC
This 30-nucleotide non-coding RNA is filed under the name Rattus norvegicus (Norway rat). Lineage: Eukaryota; Metazoa; Chordata; Mammalia; Rodentia; Muridae. The record is from RNAcentral.